AGAUUGAACGCUGGCGGCAGGCCUAACACAUGCAAGUCGAGCGGUAGAGAGGUGCUUGCAUCUCUUGAGAGCGGCGGACGGGUGAGUAAUGCCUAGGAAUCUGCCUAGUGGUGGGGGAUAACGUUCGGAAACGGACGCUAAUACCGCAUACGUCCUACGGGAGAAAGCGGGGGACCUUCGGGCCUCGCGCCAUUAGAUGAGCCUAGGUCGGAUUAGCUAGGUUGGUGAGGUAAUGGCUCACCAAGGCGACGAUCCGUAACUGGUCUGAGAGGAUGAUCAGUCACACUGGAACUGAAGACACGGUCCAGACUCCUACGGGAGCAGCAGGUGGGGAAAUUAGUUAGGACAAA
This 350-nucleotide ribosomal RNA is filed under the name uncultured soil bacterium. RNAcentral describes it as "bacterial SSU rRNA". It matches the Rfam family "Bacterial small subunit ribosomal RNA", at positions 26 to 380 of the family's 1533-position model. The record is from RNAcentral.